GAUGAACGCUGGCUACAGGCUUAACACAUGCAAGUCGAGGGGAAACGACGGGGAAGCUUGCUUCCCCGGGCGUCGACCGGCGCACGGGUGAGUAACGCGUAUCCAACCUGCCUCUGACUGAGGGCUAACCCGUCGCAAGUCGGCCUAAUACCUCAUGGUAUCGUCUGCGGGCAUCCAACGACGAUUAAAGAUUUCAUCGGUCAGGGAUGGGGAUGCGUCUGAUUAGCUUGUUGGCGGGGUAACGGCCCACCAAGGCUACGAUCAGUAGGGGUUCUGAGAGGAAGGUCCCCCACAAUGGAACUGAGACACAGUCCAAACUGCUACGGGAGGCAGCAGUGAGGAAUAUUGGGCAAUGGGCGAGAGCCUGAACCAGCCAAGUAGCGUGCAGGAAGACGGCGCUAUGGGUUGUAAACUGCUUUUAGGCGGGGAUAAAGUGAGGGACGGGUCCCUCAUUGCAGGUACCGAAUGAAUAAGGACCGGCUAAUUCCGUG
This 491-nucleotide ribosomal RNA is filed under the name uncultured bacterium. Its description in RNAcentral is "partial 16S ribosomal RNA". It matches the Rfam family "Bacterial small subunit ribosomal RNA", at positions 28 to 507 of the family's 1533-position model. The record is from RNAcentral.